Molecule: long non-coding RNA, 474 nt
Filed under: Elaeis guineensis (African oil palm)
Lineage: Eukaryota; Viridiplantae; Streptophyta; Magnoliopsida; Arecales; Arecaceae
Description: long non-coding RNA (EGUI_LNC082879)
Source: RNAcentral
GACUCCUCACGAGUGCUAGCUCGUUGUAGAGCCCUUUUGACGGUGGAUGCUGAUCGAACUCCUUCAAUCGAUGUCUGUCGAUUCUUUGGAUGCUCUGAAUCAUCAACAGAUGUGCUUGAGAGGAUGUUGAAGAUCCCCCUAAGAUUUUGUGAGCUCACGACACUCGUAGCUCACUUUCACUUCCCGAACCCUAGGCUAAAACUCUAGGGAACUCAACGGAAACCUUGCACGCACUUUUCUUUCUUUUCUUUCUUUUUCUUUUGGAAGGAUAUGGACUUCCUUCUCAUGCAAAAGACUUCUCACGCCCUAGAAUUUUUCUCCAAAAAACUUCUUCUUGCACGCCCCACUCUUCUCCUCCUUUUAUAACAACGUCAAAUAUCUUAUCCAAAAGAAAGGAUAAAGAUGAGUAAUUGUACAUUUGAAUUCAAAUCAAAUUUUGAAUUCAAAUGGACACCAACUCAUCCCUUAUCCACU